GACGAACGCUGGCGGCGUGCCUAAUACAUGCAAGUAGAACGCACAGUUUAUACCGUAGCUUGCUACACCAUAGACUGUGAGUUGCGAACGGGUGAGUAACGCGUAGGUAACCUGCCUGGUAGCGGGGGAUAACUAUUGGAAACGAUCGCUAAUACCGCAUAAUAUUAAUUAUUGCAUGAUAAUUAAUUGAAAUGUGCAAUUGCACCACUACCAGAUGGACCUGCGUUGUAUUAGCUAGUAGGUGAGGUAACGGCUCACCUAGGCGACGAUACAUAGCCGACCGGAGAGGGUGAGCGGCCACACUGGGACUGAGACACGGCCCAGACUCCUACGGGAGGCAGCAGUAGGGAAUCUUCGGCAAUGGACGAAAGUCUGACCGAGCAACGCCGCGAGAGUGAAGAAGGUUUUCGGAUCGUAAAGCUCUGUUGUAAGAGAAGAACGGGUGUGAGAGUGGAAAGUUCACACUGUGACGGUAUCUUACCAGAAAGGGACGGCUAACUACGUG
This 505-nucleotide ribosomal RNA is filed under the name uncultured bacterium. RNAcentral describes it as "partial 16S ribosomal RNA". It matches the Rfam family "Bacterial small subunit ribosomal RNA", at positions 28 to 507 of the family's 1533-position model. The record is from RNAcentral.